UUUAUGGGGUGACUGCGUACCUUUUGUAUAAUGGGUCAGCGACUUAUAUUCUGUAGCAAGGUUAACCGUAUAGGGGAGCCGAAGGGAAACCGAGUCUUAACUGGGCGUUAAGUUGCAGGGUAUAGACCCGAAACCCGGUGAUCUAGCCAUGGGCAGGUUGAAGGUUGGGUAACACUAACUGGAGGACCGAACCGACUAAUGUUGAAAAAUUAGCGGAUGACUUGUGGCUGGGGGUGAAAGGCCAAUCAAACCGGGAGAUAGCUGGUUCUCCCCGAAAGCUAUUUAGGUAGCGCCUCGUGAACUCAUCUUCGGGGGUAGAGCACUGUUUCGGCUAGGGGGCCAUCCCGGCUUACCAACCCGAUGCAAACUACGAAUACCGAAGAAUGUUAUCACGGGAGACACACGGCGGGUGCUAACGUCCGUCGUGAAGAGGGAAACAACCCAGACCGCCAGCUAAGGUCCCAAAGUCAUGGUUAAGUGGGAAACGAUGUGGGAAGGCACAGACAGCCAGGAUGUUGGCUUAGAAGCAGCCAUCAUUUAAAGAAAGCGUAAUAGCUCACUGGUCGAGUCGGCCUGCGCGGAAGAUGUAACGGGGCUAAACCAUGCACCGAAGCUGCGGCAGCGACNGUUGUUGGGUAGGGGAGCGUUCUGUAAGCCGUUGAAGGUGUCCUGUGAGGGGUGCUGGAGGUAUCAGAAGUGCGAAUGCUGACAUAAGUAACGAUAAAGCGGGUGAAAAGCCCGCUCGCCGGAAGACCAAGGGUUCCUGUCCAACGUUAAUCGGGGCAGGGUGAGUCGACCCCUAAGGCGAGGCCGAAAGGCGUAGUCGAUGGGAAACAGGUUAAUAUUCCUGUACUUGGUGUUACUGCGAAGGGGGGACGGAGAAGGCUAUGUUAGCCGGGCGACGGUUGUCCCGGUUUAAGCAUGUAGGCGGAGGUUCCAGGUAAAUCCGGUUCCUUGUUAACGCUGAGGUGUGAUGACGAGGCACUACGGUGCUGAAGUAACAAAUGCCCUGCUUCCAGGAAAAGCCUCUAAGCAUCAGGUAACAUCAAAUCGUACCCCAAACCGACACAGGUGGUCAGGUAGAGAAUACCAAGGCGCUUGAGAGAACUCGGGUGAAGGAACUAGGCAAAAUGGUGCCGUAACUUCGGGAGAAGGCACGCUGAUAUGUAGGUGAAGCCCCUGCGGGUGGAGCUGAAAUCAGUCGAAGAUACCAGCUGGCUGCAACUGUUUAUUAAAAACACAGCACUGUGCAAACACGAAAGUGGACGUAUACGGUGUGACGCCUGCCCGGUGCCGGAAGGUUAAUUGAUGGGGUUAGCGGNAACGCGAAGCUCUUGAUCGAAGCCCCGGUAAACGGCGGCCGUAACUAUAACGGUCCUAAGGUAGCGAAAUUCCUUGUCGGGUAAGUUCCGACCUGCACGAAUGGCGUAAUGAUGGCCAGGCUGUCUCCACCCGAGACUCAGUGAAAUUGAACUCGCUGUGAAGAUGCAGUGUACCCGCGGCAAGACGGAAAGACCCCGUGAACCUUUACUAUAGCUUGACACUGAACACUGGUCCUUGAUGUGUAGGAUAGGUGGGAGGCUUUGAAGCGUGGACGCCAGUCUGCGUGGAGCCAACCUUGAAAUACCACCCUUUAAUGGCUGGUGUUCUAACGUAGACCCGUGAUCCGGGUUGCGGACAGUGUCUGGUGGGUAGUUUGACUGGGGCGGUCUCCUCCCAAAGAGUAACGGAGGAGCACGAAGGUUAGCUAAUCCUGGUCGGACAUCAGGAGGUUAGUGCAAUGGCAUAAGCUAGCUUGACUGCGAGAGUGACGGCUCGAGCAGGUGCGAAAGCAGGUCAUAGUGAUCCGGUGGUUCUGAAUGGAAGGGCCAUCGCUCAACGGAUAAAAGGUACUCCGGGGAUAACAGGCUGAUACCGCCCAAGAGUUCAUAUCGACGGCGGUGUUUGGCACCUCGAUGUCGGCUCAUCACAUCCUGGGGCUGAAGUAGGUCCCAAGGGUAUGGCUGUUCGCCAUUUAAAGUGGUACGCGAGCUGGGUUUAGAACGUCGUGAGACAGUUCGGUCCCUAUCUGCCGUGGGCGCUGGAGAAUUGAGGGGGGCUGCUCCUAGUACGAGAGGACCGGAGUGGACGCAUCACUGGUGUUCGGGUUGUCAUGCCAAUGGCACUGCCCGGUAGCUAAAUGCGGAAGAGAUAAGUGCUGAAAGCAUCUAAGCACGAAACUUGCCCCGAGAUGAGUUCUCCCUGAGACUUUAAGUCUCCUGAAGGAACGUUGAAGACUACGACGUUGAUAGGUCGGGUGUGUAAGCGCAGCGAUGCGUUGAGCUAACCGAUACUAAUGAACCGUGAGGCUUAACCUUACAACGCCGAAG
This 2369-nucleotide ribosomal RNA is filed under the name Enterobacter ludwigii. Its description in RNAcentral is "partial 23S ribosomal RNA". It matches the Rfam family "Bacterial large subunit ribosomal RNA", at positions 585 to 2925 of the family's 2925-position model. Lineage: Bacteria; Pseudomonadati; Pseudomonadota; Gammaproteobacteria; Enterobacterales; Enterobacteriaceae. The record is from RNAcentral.